CUGGCACACUUUGAGUCGAUCGGUUGGAUGCUGCGCAUGGGUGGAGGUAACUACUACCUUUCUCUUGUAGAUAGCACACUGGGUUCUGUCCUCACUGUAUAUACGAGGGACUUGGUCUGGCCCGGGUUGCGCCUGUAAGCUAAACAGCCGAUCGUAAAAGGGUGUCUUCUGUCAGUUGGCGUCUGUUCUGACUGAGGGAGUUCGCUCUCAGCUCUACGCACUGCGGCAGUAACCAGCCCAGGGUCAGACCUUCUCUGAAGAGAAGCACCCUUCAACUGGCCAGCAGUGACAACCACCGAACAGUGCCAACAAGGAACCACGCACAGGCAGCGCCGGAACAUCUGCAAGGCUGAAGCACCCAUCCUGAACGAUGGCUGGAUUCUGGAAGAUUGCUGGACAGCUGCUCUUGAACGAGAUGGUGAACCAAAUGGCAGAAAGUAUGUUAGAAAGGAUGGACCCUAAGCAGGCCAGGAUGUGCAAACUGCUCUGGAGACUUAGAGGUGCAGUCGGCAGGAUAAGUCUUACUCGGGGAGAAAUCAACAGAUUGAUGCAAGAGUUGACCCUUUUCUUGAAUAACGAAAAGGGUAACUUGGGGCAAAGUCUGAAGAUGAUUGUCGAGUCUUUGGCGGUGGCGAGGGAUGCUUUUGAGGAGUAUGAAGAGAUUCAGGAAUUGAUUGAUGACAUCAAGAGAGAGUGGAAAUAUUACCAAACUGGAACGUAUGAGUUCUGAAAGUUUAAGUCUUUGUACUGAUUUUAAUGAAAACGUUUACUCGUUCCAUAGUCCACUAAUUCAUUUACCAUCUGUAUUAAUGGAACCCGAAUAUAAAUAAAAAAAUACAAGGAACUAAUA
RNAcentral lists this long non-coding RNA (850 nucleotides) under Schistocerca americana (American grasshopper). RNAcentral's name for it is "uncharacterized LOC124551141, transcript variant X2". Lineage: Eukaryota; Metazoa; Arthropoda; Insecta; Orthoptera; Acrididae. The record is from RNAcentral.